AUGGUUGAUCGAAGGUGCCCCAUCGCGGGUGGGAGAAAAAGGCCAUUUGGGCUGUGUGUUGUCCGCGUAGCCGACAGGAAGCAAACACGUUCUCGAAAGCUGAAGGCUCCAGCGACCUCUCUUACCACCAUCAUAGCAGUCCCAGGUUGCAACAAGGACAGUGUUAAAGCAGGCUGUAAAAAAGUGUGGCUACCCUGGUCACCUGACUUUUGAAUGCUGCAAUUUUCUCCGAGUAGACCCCAAAAGGGACAUAGUUUUAGAUGUCAGCAGUACAAGCACUGAAGAUAGUGAUGAAGAGAAUGAAGAACUGAAUAAACUACAGGCAUUACAGGAAAAAAGAAUAAAUGAAGAAGGGGAAAAGAAAAAAGAAAAAAGCAAAGAAAAUCAAAUUGAAAAUAAGAGGAAAAGGUCAUAUUCAUCCAGUUCCACUGAAGAAGAUACUUCAAAACAAAAGAAACAAAAAUAUCAGAAGAAAGAAAAGAAAAAAGAAAAAAAUAGUAAAUAAAAAAAGAGGAAACAUCACAAAAAGGAAAAAAAAGAAGAGGAAAAAGGAAAAGCAUUCUUCUACCCCUAAUAGUUUGGAAUUCUCCAAAAAGGAACUGAGACUGUGGCCUAGGACAUUACAUUUAAAAAUUUGUUUUUUAAAAUUAUGUACCCUUCCUUGGAAUUUGCUAUAUAUUCUGCUUUGCAAUAAAUCCCGGCCUUUUCCAUUAAAAAAAAAAACAAAAAAAAAACCACUGUGUAAUCAAAAAGUUCCAGGCCAAGUGGCAAAAAUCCAGCCUGAACCAUGAGAACAGACAAUCAUGGUCCCUCAAUCAGUUCCCAGACUUGAGCCAGUUUAUAGGCCAAGAACCCCUUCAGUGAAGGGGAGGCUGGGUCCUCUUGAGGAAGGAUCCCAGUACACUACCAAAGAUUAAUACUGUGAUCUUUUUUUCCAAGCUUUCCCCCAAAGGCCUACAGCCUUUUACAAGGGGAACUGCACUGGGGGAAAGGAAAAAGUCAGACCUAUUGGGGACUAUUGAAUACGGGCUCUGAACUGACACUAAUUCCGGAGGGCCCAAAACAUCACUGUGGUCUGCCAGUCAGACUAGGGGCUUAUGGAGGUCAGGUGAUCAUGGGUUUCAGCUGAGGUCCGUCUCAUGGUGGGCCCAGUGGGUCUGUGAACCCAUCCUGUAGGUAUUUCCGAAGUUAUGGAAGGCAUAAUUGGAAUAGACAUCCUCAGCAGCUGUCAGAAUCCCCACAUUGGUCCCCCAACCUGUGGAGUGAGGGCUAUUAUGGUCGGAAAGGCCAUGUGGAAGCCGCUAGAACUGUCUCCACCUAGAAAAAUAAUAAACUCUAGCUUUGCUUCUUGAACAAAAUGAUAAAGUUUCAAAAGAAGAAAACUUUUUCCCUCUUUUACCCGUCUUCCUGCCUUGGACUUGGACGUGUUGAACAGCAUUCGUGAUCAUGAAGAAAAGGUCCAGAAAAUUAUGGGGAUGUCAGCGUUGACAUUUUAAAUCACUGAACCAACUCCAACAACCACCUUCAUCUAGACCUUUUUCAUCAAAAUGUAAGCCCCAUGAUUUGUUUAAGCCACUCCUAUUUGGGUACCCUGUUGGUAUCUGCAAUGGUACCUGCUGCCAAAAGUAUUACUAACUGAGACACAUUUAUUUCGUACACCUCAAAAUGAACAUAAGUGAACUCAUGAUCCUCUCCACUAAACUUCCUUUUCUUAUGGUUUCUCCCAUCCCAGUGAAGGAACACCAUCCAGUAGUCACCUGGACGGCUAAAAAUAGUUCUUACCACAUCUCCUCUGGCCCAUCUCCAGUGCAAUCUCCAAAAGCAGCCAUAGUAAUGUUUUAAAGGGAACUUUUCUGAUCAUGUCUACCCCCUUGCUUAAAAUCCUCUAACGGCUUCCCACUUAACUGAAAAUUAAGUCCAAACUCCCUACAGGGUCUAUAAGACCUUAUGUGAUGUGACUCUUACCCACCUCUCUAUUAUAGCUUCAUGUCAACUUUGGUCCUCCUCCAUCUCUAGACUAGCAACACUGACUUCCUUUUACUUUCUCAUCCUCUUAUUCUCCUUUAAGAUCCCUCUUUUGUCAGCCUAGUAUACUUUUCUCCCAAUAUUUGCCUCAGUAACUCUUCCUCAUCACUCACAUUGCAGCUUACACAUCAUUUUCUUAGUAAGUCUUCCAUGGACCCCUGCCACUAGGUCAAAUCCUUCACUGAAUGCUGCUAGAGCACCACGUUCACUUUAAGCACAUAUAACCUCUAAUUACUUACUCCGUUUUUCUGCUGGACAGUAAGCUCCUGAGCACAGGCACUGUGUCUGUUUUCAAACAAAAGUCCUCAUCCUCCCACCAUCAACAUUUUAAACAUACAUUAAUUCUUAAGCUAACUUCUUCCUCCGGAUGUGAGGGAGAAAAUGUUUCUCCUCUUAACCCCUCACUUGUACUUUGGAUUCCAUCCUGCCUCACCUUCUCAAGUACUCUGAGACUUUGACUCUGCCCCCACACAGACACUUUUCAGAAUCAUUAGUCUCUCCCUCACCUCAACAUCAUUAAUGUAAACAUUUAAGCAUCUCCCUAGUGCAUCUCAUGUUAAAAAACAAACAAGAAGCCUCAGUUGAGUCUACCUCUUCCUCCUGCUACUGUAGUAUUUUUCUACUCUUCUUCAUAGACAAUUUCACUCUAAAGAGAUGGGCAAAAUUUUAGAUUUAGAAAAUGCUGGGUGUUCGUGAGAAUAUAGAGCAAAGGCACAACCCCUGUAGACAGUAGAAUUUAGAUAGGUAUUAGAAAAAACAAAUUAAAUCAAAUAUACCAAUAAUCUAUGAUGCAGCAGUUCCACUUCUAGGUGUAUAUCAUAGAACAACAUCUUUCCAGUUGCUGCCUACGACACUAUAGUGAAUGUGUUGUGAAAUCAGUUUGUGGGUUGUGACUACAUUAAACAAGUGAACCAGAAGAAAAUGGAAUAGAAAAUAUUAGAUUGCAUUGCAUGUCGUUAGGGUAAGUAUUGUUGUGUGAAAAUUUUAUUUCACUUACUUAUAUGUGUGUGCUUAUAUGUGUGGGUACGUGUGUGCAUGCAUGCUUGUGUUCUCCAGGACACAAUACAAAAUGUAUUCCUUUCUGGGGUUUCUGUCAGAAAAACUUGCAAAACACUCUCUCCUAGACAGUUUCUUGAAUAUGUGCCAAAGGAGAUCUGUCUAUAUGUGACUGUUCACUCCAGUGUGGAUCAAACACCGGGAAAGAGGCUGAGUGGUUUUCACAGAGAGUCCUGUUGAAUGCACCCUAUUAUUAGGAGCCUCCUUCACAGUGGUGGCACUUUGGUGAGCAUUGACAUGGGACACAAAAUAUUCUCAAAUUGUGGGCCCAUUCGAAGAGGUCCAUCCCCAUACCGCCUCCUCAAACCUUCUCACCAAUCUGCCAAGCCUAUUACUACUAAGUCCCCGAUCAUCCAGCCCAAUAAUUAACCAUGGCCCAUACAUCAGUGUAGAUCUUGGCUUCAGGCCUCUGUGCUUCUUGGGAGAAUGGACGGUGACAUGUAUUUAUCAAUGUUGGGCUCACCAUGAUGAUUUCCUUUUCCCCACUGGACUUCGGGGACACACUUGUUUGGGACUGUAAUAUCACUGCAAUCCACAUCCACAAGGUUGCAGCACACCCUGUAGAGCCUUUCUUUAAACCAGGCUACAGAGUUUUUCUCCCCAGUCACCAAGUCGCAAGAAACUCCCAAUGAACCCGUAUGUUGGGUGUGGGUUGACAAACAGGUGGCAGCAUAAGGAGGAAUAAAAGCCAAAUCUUGUAUAUGUCAUUUCUCUUUAGUGAUGGACGUCUACUGGUUAUACUAGACUUUAUGGUUUAGUGGAUUAGUCAACACCCAGUUAAUGAUGGACAGCUCAGGUCGCAUGAUCAUCUGAUUUCUCUUGGUCAGUCUCUACCAGGGCUAGUAGCAAGCUAGGAGCAGUCUCCCAGAAAAGAUAAUAGUUACUUGCUGAUGAAGGCAUGAAUUUGCUCCAACCCUAGGGUCCACUGACAGGUUUCUCUCAUCAGGGAUUACUACAGACUCCAUAGGGCAUCAUGAUCUGUUACAGACACUUCAAGCACCAUUGGAUCCCCUGGGUCAUAAGGGCUUGGUGGCAGAUCUGCGUGAACUGCAGCCCGGGACAAUGGGAGAGCCUUCAUUUACUCUGGGCCCUCACUGAAUACUAGCCAUUUUUCUUGUCACCUACAAAAUGGGUUGGAGCAGGACACACAAAGGUGGCAAAUUUAAUUUUAUCUUCAACAUCUAAACUGGCCCACCAAGCAUUGUGUCUCACUACUGCUAGGGGAUGAAAACUGAAGCAACUUGGCCUCCACAUUGGAGGGACUAUCUUGCCAUGCCUCAAGUCACUGGACCCCUACUGGUUUCAUAGAGGUGGCAGGCUUCUGUAAUUUCAAAGGAUUUAACUCAAAGCUUUUGGAAUCUCAUGAGUCUUUCCAAGGUAUCUAGGGUACCUGCUACUUUCUCGUCUCUAGGUCCUGUCAGCAUGAUGUCAUCAACAGAGUGGACUAGAGUAAUUCCCACUGGAUGACGGUGUGGUUAAAAUCUCCAAAGACUAAACUGGAGCUCAGACAUGGAAAUAUGAUAUAUCUCUACAGGACAGUAAGCGUAUAGAAUUUUCUAUGCUAAAGAAAUCAAAGUGCUUUUAAUGUUCUCUGCUUGCUGAAAUGUAGAAAAGAGUAUUGAUUUGCUCUGGUAAGGGGGUCACAUCUGGGAAAGUAACUGCUGUGGAGUCACCACCUGGUUGUAUUUAGGUCCAUUCAUCUCUUGCACUAGCUAAAAUUGGAAUGGGGAUAAGAUAUGAAUUACUACCUCUGCAUCUUUUAGUAUUUUGGUGGUGGCAUGAAAUUUCUGAUAUUCCCACGGGCUUGUGAUAUUGCUAUCACAAUAGGUUUAGUAUCUUGGUAGGGAGGAGGGAGGAGAACAUCUAGCGACUUCUUAGCCCUCCUUAGCACAAUAGCUCUUACUCCACAGGUUAUCGAGGCAACAUGGAGAUUCUUCCAGUUUCUGAAUAAGUGUGUGCAUGCAUGUGUGCGCAUGCGCACGUGUGCACGUGUGUGCGUGUGCGCGUGUGUUUGUAGUCCACAAAUACCUUCAGGAACUAGAGAAACAACGAUGGGAUGAACUUUCUUCAAAAUUUCGUCCAUCAUCUGACCCUGAUAAGCCUCCCUCUGACUGAAAGACCAUGGUGGCAUUCUGCAUUCCAAGGCAUCAGAGCAGAGUCAAUCGCCAGUAACCACUAAAGGUUUGGGUGUUUCCCUUUCUGCAGUGCAAAUAUACUUAACUGACUGGCCGCAAGUUCCUUGAAGAGAUACUAGAAUGAAGGUUCACAUUAUAUGUUUAUGUUUGUUCCCUGACUUUCUCUUCACUUAAGGGGCUCUGGGUCUAUGAAUUGACUCAAAGUCAGGCACUGAAAUUCAGUGGAUGUUGGUUCAAAUGACUCUUCUGUCAACAGACCUCCGGGGUUUUUGAAAUUGUUGUAUUUACACCGAUAAAAUAUACUGGUUUGCAGUGGAUUUUAUUUCAGUCAGUUUCUUUGUUUACCAUUUGUUCCUGCAUCUCAGCUCUUCUGGGCACAAUUUUCUUCCUCUUGAGGUACCUGUUUAAAAGUUCUUUCAGGCCAGGUGCGGUGGCUCACGCCUGUAAUCCUAGCACU
Non-coding RNA from Microcebus murinus (gray mouse lemur), 5673 nucleotides. Lineage: Eukaryota; Metazoa; Chordata; Mammalia; Primates; Cheirogaleidae. The record is from RefSeq and is a predicted model, not a curated record.